UUUCCGGUUGAUCCCGCCGGACCUGACUGCUAUCGGAUUGAUACUAAGCCAUGCGAGUCUUUGUAGUAAUACAAGGCAGACGGCUCAGUAACACGUAGUCAACCUACCCUAUGGACAAGAAUAAUCUCGGGAAACUGGGCAUAAUUCUUGAUAGAUCAUAAUGCCUGGAAUGGUUUAUGGUUAAAAUGAUUCGUCGCCAUAGGAUGGGACUGCGGCCUAUCAGCUUGUUGGUGAGGUAAUGGCCCACCAAGGCGAUUACAGGUACGGGCUCUGAGAGGAGAAGCCCGGAGAUGGGUACUGAGACACGGACCCAGGCCCUAUGGGGCGCAGCAGGCGAGAAAACUUUGCAAUGUGCGAAAGCACGACAAGGUUAAUCCGAGUGAUUUCUGCUAAAGAAAUCUUUUGCCAGUCAUAAAACCACUGGUGAAUAAGGGGUGGGCAAGUUCUGGUGUCAGCCGCCGCGGUAAAACCAGCACCUCAAGUGGUCAGGAUGAUUAUUGGGCCUAAAGCAUCCGUAGCCGGCUUUGUUAGUUUUCGGUUAAAUCCAUGUGCUCAACGCAUGGGCUGCCGAAAAUACUGCAUAGCUAGGGAGUGGGAGAGGUAGACGGUACUCAGUAGGAAGGGGUAAAAUCCUUUGAUCUAUUGAUGACCACCUGUGGCGAAGGCGGUCUACCAGAACACGUUCGACGGUGAGGGAUGAAAGCUGGGGGAGCAAACCGGAUUAGAUACCCGGGUAGUCCCAGCUGUAAACGAUGCAGACUCGAUGAUGCAUUGGCAUAAUAGCCAGUGCAGUGUCGCAGGGAAGCCGUUAAGUCUGCCGCCUGGGAAGUACGUACGCAAGUAUGAAACUUAAAGGAAUUGGCGGGGGAGCACCACAAGGGGUGAAGCCUGCGGUUCAAUUGGAGUCAACGCCGGAA
This 917-nucleotide ribosomal RNA is filed under the name uncultured archaeon. Its description in RNAcentral is "SSU rRNA". It matches the Rfam family "Archaeal small subunit ribosomal RNA", at positions 1 to 923 of the family's 1478-position model. The record is from RNAcentral.